RNAcentral lists this ribosomal RNA (238 nucleotides) under uncultured bacterium. RNAcentral describes it as "partial 16S ribosomal RNA". It matches the Rfam family "Bacterial small subunit ribosomal RNA", at positions 96 to 334 of the family's 1533-position model. The record is from RNAcentral.
UGGCGGACGGGUGAGUAACGCGUGGGUAACCUGCCUCAUACAGGGGGAUAACAGUUAGAAAUGACUGCUAAUACCGCAUAAGACCACGGAGCCGCAUGGCUCAGUGGGAAAAACUCCGGUGGUAUGAGAUGGACCCGCGUCUGAUUAGGUAGUUGGUGGGGCAACGGCCUACCAAGCCAACGAUCAGUAGCCGACCUGAGAGGGUGACCGGCCACAUUGGGACUGAGACACGGCCCAA